CCAAAAAAAAUUUUAGUUAACAUUAAUAGCAUUUUAUUAUUGCUAUUGUGAAAAAAUUUAUGAAUGGGAAGAAAAAAUCAAUAAUACCGCUAUACUUAGAUGAAAAGUACACGAGCGCCAUAUAUUCGCUCGUUAAGAUAACAAUUUCUUUGCUUAAGUUAAAUGAAAAAAAAAAUCAGAGCCACCACGAGACUUAGAAAAAAAAAGAGACACUGAAACUCUACUUUUAUCAAUUUCCUUAUUUCCUAGUGUCUAAAGUCUGAGUCUCUGAGACAGAACAGAGAAGAGAAGAGGCGAGACGAAACAAAGAUAGACAGGAGAGAGAGCUUGGGUCGUGUCUUGCUUCGUCUAAGAUAACCAGUGCUUGGGUUGGGUCGGGUCGGGUCUUGCUUUCUCUCCGCCAUUUUCGCCUCUGCUUCGUAGAUCUGCUGUGUUCGAGCUCCAUCGCCGCUUGUACCGGGGUUUCAUUCGAGCGAGAAGAAAAGGAAGAAGAUGGAUUUGGUCCACAGACACGGGAAGAGACAACCUGCCUCUUGAGCUUCCAAUCUAAGGAGACAUAGGAGAUGGAGACAGAGAGAAGCAGAAGUAGAGCUGGAGAAAACAUAGUUGGAGUUUCAGACUCAAAACGAGAGAAGUCAGAAGAGCAAGGUAUUUGGAUGGACAAGAGGAACUCAGGAGUUUUUGAUUUUUCUGAAGUUAAAGAAGUGAAACAUAAAGUAGAAGAAGAAGACAAACAUGGAGAUGAUUAUGAACCGGAUCUACUCUACCUUGUACAUUCUUGCUUACUUCUUCACCAGGAGACAGGGGUGAUGGAGAUGGAGAGAAAAAGAAGGGUGUCUCUAUAUUUUCAGGAAGAGGAAGAUGAGAAUGACAAAGUGACUGUAGGCAAAUAACUCAGAGCCGUGUAUCAGAGAGAAAUUAUGAAUAUACACAGAUCUUGACAUUGUUAUGAAGAAGCUUUGUUGAUUUCUCAAGACCUGUUCGUUCAAUUGCCUUAAAGAAUCAGGUCAGCUUUGUGUUGCUGUUGGUGCUCUGUUAGUAACUACCAUCUUCUUCUUCUCUAGCAAGUAGUGGUCAUUACAUUCUUCUUUUCUAUUUGAAAUCUGCUGAGGUUCUUUAGUCUUAAAUUUUUGAUAUAUUAAUCUUCAGUAUUCGACUUGCUUUCUUGUUUGCGGUUUAUGUAGGUUUCUAACUUGCUGCAAAUUCACUAAGUCCUCGUGUUCAAGGGCUAGAUUCUGAGCUUGGUGUUGACGGUUUUCUAUCAUAUGUUAUGAAGUAAUAAUGACUGCUGCUACGGGUGGAGUACUGUCAAUGUCUACAGAAACCUUGCUGCAACGUAAGAAAGGGUGCUAAGAACGGAUCAUUUGAUGUGGAGUAAGAACUGCAUCAUCUUCUCUCUUUUUUUCUUUGCAAAUGAGACUUGUGUUCUUCGUUUGAGAUUUGUAACUUUGAAUUGUAUCUCCCUUGGAAUUAUGACAAAAAUGUUGUGUGGGAUAAUAUAUUUUCUAUUAUGGAAUACAAUUUCAGCUUCAUUAC
Molecule: long non-coding RNA, 1536 nt
Organism: Raphanus sativus (radish)
Lineage: Eukaryota; Viridiplantae; Streptophyta; Magnoliopsida; Brassicales; Brassicaceae
Exons: 5
Source: RefSeq, a predicted model, not a curated record